This 254-nucleotide ribosomal RNA is filed under the name uncultured bacterium. Its description in RNAcentral is "partial 16S ribosomal RNA". It matches the Rfam family "Bacterial small subunit ribosomal RNA", at positions 524 to 776 of the family's 1533-position model. The record is from RNAcentral.
UACGAAGGGGGCUAGCGUUGCUCGGAAUCACUGGGCGUAAAGCGCACGUAGGCGGAUAUUUAAGUCGGUGGUGAAAUCCUGGAGCUCAACUCCAGAACUGCCUCCGAUACUGAAUGUCUUCGAGUCCGGGAGAGGUGAGUGGGACUGCGAGUGUAGAGGUGAAAUUCGUAGAUAUUCGCAAGAACACCAGUGGCGAAGGCGGCUCACUGGCCCGGUACUGACGCUGAGGUGCGAAAGCGUGGGGAGCAAACAGG